UCCAGCAGCCAUAUCACCCUGCAACACACACCUGGCAACCCACUGAUGCUAAGCAGGUGUGAGCCUGGUAAGUACAUGGAUGAGAGACCUCCUGGGAAAAACUAAGGCUGCUGGAG
This 116-nucleotide ribosomal RNA is filed under the name Lepisosteus oculatus (spotted gar). Lineage: Eukaryota; Metazoa; Chordata; Actinopteri; Semionotiformes; Lepisosteidae. The record is from RNAcentral.